UACUAAACCAUUAUUGACGCUGAUGGACGAAAGCGUGGGAGCGAACAGGAUUAGAUACCCUGGUAGUCCACGCCGUAAACGAUGAUUACUCGUUGUGCACAAUACACCGUGCGUGACUGAGCGAAAGCAUUAAGUAAUCCACCUGGGGAGUACGUUCGCAAGAAUGAAACUCAAAGGAAUUGACGGGGGCCCGCACAAGCGGAGGAACAUGUGGUUUAAUUCGAUGAUACGCGAGGAACCUUACCUGGACUUAAAUGUAGAUUGACCGGUUUAGAAAUAGAUCUUUCCUUCGGGACAAUUUACAAGGUGCUGCAUGGUUGUCGUCAGCUCGUGCCGUGAGGUGUCGGGUUAAGUCCCAUAACGAGCGCAACCCCUAUCGUUAGUUGCUAGCAGGUAAUGCUGAGGACUCUAGCGAGACUGCCACCGUAAGGUGAGAGGAAGGUGGGGAUGACGUCAAAUCAGCACGGCCCUUACGUCCAGGGCUACACACGUGUUACAAUGGCCAGUACAAAGGGCAGCUACCAGGUGACUGGAUGCUAAUCUCAAAAGCUGGUCUCAGUUCGGAUCGGAGUCUGCAACUCGACUCCGUGAAGUUGGAUUCGCUAGUAAUCGUAUAUCAGCAAUGAUACGGUGAAUACGUUCCCGGGCCUUGUACACACCGCCCGUCAAGCCAUGGAAGCCGAGGGUGCCUGAAGUACGUUACCGCAAGGAGCGUCCUAGGGUAAAAUUGGUAACUGGGGCUAAGUCGUAACAAGGUAACCGUA
Molecule: ribosomal RNA, 764 nt
Filed under: uncultured bacterium
Lineage: Bacteria
Description: bacterial SSU rRNA
Rfam family: Bacterial small subunit ribosomal RNA
Source: RNAcentral